AGAUAUACUUGUUCCCUCCCAAGCCAGAUAUUUUUCCCUCCCAAGCAUAAAAUUCGCCGAAACGCCGCCCUCUGAACUGUUUCAGUUUGCUUGCCCCCAAAUUAUUCCCAAAAUCGCAAAUCCUCCUCUCUCCAACCGGGAAAUAUAAAGCAAGGCAAUUUCAGGCAAAACAAGUAAUUAAAGCUGCAAGCUGAUUGAGAUUCGAAACCCUAAUGAACCCCUACGACCACCGGUACGGCGAUCCGACCUCCUAUCGCGAGCGUCGUAGUGACCUAAUCGGCCCACCUCCUCCUGUGGGUCAGCCACCGGCAGGCGGUUAUGGCCGCGGUGGACACGUUCCGUACGGAGUCACGCCUCCUCCGGUCUAUGGAAGAGGUGGGGGAGGAUCGGCACCACCCGGCGCCGGUGAUUUCAACGGGUACCCGCCGUUUCAGCCUCCCGUUGCCCGAUUCGAAAUCGGUCGAGGCGGUGGAAAUACAAUGAAUGGACAUGUUGGAGUUGGUGAUAGGAGAGUAGGGAACGUAGGCCGUGGUGGUAGUGGUGGAAGAGGCUUUGAUUCGGGUCGUGGUGGCAGAGUUGGUAUAAGCCGUGGUGGUCGUGGUCUGGGUGGUUCUGAUGGAGUGGGUCGGAUUGGGAAUAGGAGCUUUGGUGGAGGUCGUGGUGGGAAUGCCGGCUUUAGCAGUGGGAGAGGUGGUGGGAGGGGAUUUGAGGGGCGAGGUGGUGCAAGGGGAGGUAUACAUGGGGGUGGGGGUUCCAGAGGGGACUUGGACAACAUUGCUUUGCCCAAGCAGGAUUUUGGGAAUUUGGUCCCUUUCGAGAAGAAUUUUUACAUUGAGAGUCCUUCUGUGCGGGCGAUGAGUGAGCAGGAAGCUACGGUUUAUCGGGCUAGGCGGGAUAUUACGGUUGAAGGGCGUGAUGUGCCAAAGCCAAUUAGGAUGUUUCAGGAAGCUAAUUUCCCUGAUUAUUGCCUGGAUGUGAUUGCAAAACUGGGUUUUGUUGAGCCAACAGCAAUUCAGGCUCAAGGAUGGCCAAUGGCUCUUAAGGGUAGGGAUUUAAUUGGUAUUGCUGAGACUGGUUCUGGUAAGACUUUGGCAUAUCUGCUUCCUGCUCUGGUCCAUGUUAGUGCACAGCCUCGAUUGGUACAAGGUGAAGGUCCCAUUGUAUUGGUGUUAGCACCUACUAGAGAGCUAGCGGUUCAGAUUCAAGAAGAAGCUGUGAAAUUUUCUUCACGUGCUAAUAUUAGAAGUACUUGCAUAUAUGGUGGUGCUCCUAAAGGACCUCAAAUCCGUGACCUUAAAAGAGGAGUGGAGAUUGUCAUUGCUACACCUGGUAGACUGAUAGAUAUGUUGGAGGCCCAACACACAAACUUGCGAAGAGUGAGUUACCUUGUGUUGGAUGAGGCCGAUCGAAUGUUGGACAUGGGAUUUGAACCUCAAAUUAGGAAAAUUGUAGCCCAGAUCAGGCCAGAUAGACAGACAUUGUAUUGGAGUGCCACAUGGCCAAGGGAGGUUGAAACUCUAGCAAGGCAGUUUUUACGCAAUGCAUAUAAGGUAAUUAUUGGAUCACCGGAUCUGAAAGCAAACCAAUCUAUAGUUCAAGUUGUUGAAGUUGUGAUGGAGGGAGAGAAAUAUAACAGGCUGAUCAAACUGCUUAAAGAAAUGAUGGAUGGGAGCCGAAUUCUGAUAUUUAUGGAGACAAAAAAAGGAUGUGACCAAGUUACAAGGCAAUUGAGAAUGGAUGGAUGGCCAGCUCUAUCCAUUCAUGGUGAUAAAAGCCAGGUUGAAAGGGACUGGGUUCUUGCUGAGUUUAAAAGUGGCAGAAGUCCUAUAAUGACUGCCACUGAUGUUGCUGCCCGGGGUCUUGGUAGGAUCACUGUGUGUUUGGAGUCUUAGGUUUUUGCAUCUAGGUAUUGAAAUUCCAAAAAUAGGCGAGUUGGCCGGCUGCUGUCCAGUAUCCUGAGAAUAUAAUUUGUGGUUUGGGUGCGAAGGGAGAAACCAUGAUAUUCAUGACAAGGAAAGGUCAUUUUUUAUUUGCAAACAAGUAUUAUCUUUCUACUUCAUUAAGGGAUUUAUCAUUUAUGAGUUUGAUGAAAUGGUGAGAUUUCUUGUACUAGGAUGUCCCUUAAUAGGACUCUCGGUGGGUAUUAUCUUAAUCAGGCAGUCCAUGUUAUGGACAUCGGGAGCACUCACUGAUGUUGCAGGGUGUAUAGUUUCACAGGGUUUUGUUUCUUUUUGAAUGCAUUAGGAAGUAUAGCUGGCCAAAUGAGGUUGGCUACUAACAUUUUGCCUGAGCGGGCAUUGCUCCUAUCAUCAAGCGUGUAGUUAACAUGGUUAAAGUUAUCGCUGCCCAUCCACGGUUAUGGAGCUGGUUGUUUUUGCAGCCCGGUUGACUCAUACAUUCUUAUACAUUGAUUGGAUGUGGAAAUGUGGUUGUGAAGCUGCUCCUUAUCCCUGCAAGGUUAAGAUGUGAAAGACAUAAAAUGUGUGAUCAAUUAUGAUUUUCCAUCGAGCCUUGAAGAUUACGUCCACAGGAUUGGCCGAACUGGU
RNA transcript from Carya illinoinensis, 2546 nucleotides. It is a transcript of the gene named DEAD-box ATP-dependent RNA helicase 20, with no coding region annotated. The record is from RefSeq and is a predicted model, not a curated record. The transcript has 9 exons. Lineage: Eukaryota; Viridiplantae; Streptophyta; Magnoliopsida; Fagales; Juglandaceae.